GCGGCGAACGGGUGAGUAACACGUGGGUAAUCUACCCUCGGUUCUGGGAUAGCCCGGGGAAACCCGGAUUAAUACCGGAUAGCCUCUUGAGUCUUCGGGUUCUUGAGAAAAGGUAGCUUCGGCCUCCGACUGAGGAUGAGCCCGCGGCGGAUUAGCUUGUUGGCGGGGUAACGGCCCACCAAGGCUUCGAUCCGUAGCUGGUCUGAGAGGACGAUCAGCCACACUGGGACUGAGACACGGCCCAGACUCCUACGGGAGGCAGCAGUGGGGAAUCUUGCGCAAUGGGCGAAAGCCUGACGCAGCGACGCCGCGUGCGGGAAGAAGGCCUUCGGGUUGUAAACCGUUUUCAGAGGGGACGAAGCCACUCGGGUUAAUAGCCCAGAGGGUGACGGUACCUUCAGAAGAAGCCCCGGCUAACUACGUGCCAGCAGCCGCGGUAAUACGUAGGGGGCAAGCGUUGUCCGGAUUUAUUGGGCGUAAAGAGCGUGUAGGCGGCCAGGUAGGUCUGACGUGAAAUCUCGAGGCUCAACCUCGAGCGGUCGUUGGAAACCGUCUGGCUAGAGUCCGGAAGAGGAGAGUGGAAUUCCUGGUGUAGCGGUGAAAUGCGCAGAUAUCAGGAAGAACACCCAUGGCGAAGGCAGCUCUCUGGGACGGUACUG
This 659-nucleotide ribosomal RNA is filed under the name uncultured Actinomycetes bacterium. Its description in RNAcentral is "bacterial SSU rRNA". It matches the Rfam family "Bacterial small subunit ribosomal RNA", at positions 95 to 742 of the family's 1533-position model. Lineage: Bacteria; Bacillati; Actinomycetota; Actinomycetes. The record is from RNAcentral.